Molecule: ribosomal RNA, 661 nt
Filed under: Lactiplantibacillus plantarum
Lineage: Bacteria; Bacillati; Bacillota; Bacilli; Lactobacillales; Lactobacillaceae
Description: bacterial SSU rRNA
Rfam family: Bacterial small subunit ribosomal RNA
Source: RNAcentral
UGCAUCAUGAUUUACAUUUGAGUGAGUGGCGAACUGGUGAGUAACACGUGGGAAACCUGCCCAGAAGCGGGGGAUAACACCUGGAAACAGAUGCUAAUACCGCAUAACAACUUGGACCGCAUGGUCCGAGCUUGAAAGAUGGCUUCGGCUAUCACUUUUGGAUGGUCCCGCGGCGUAUUAGCUAGAUGGUGGGGUAACGGCUCACCAUGGCAAUGAUACGUAGCCGACCUGAGAGGGUAAUCGGCCACAUUGGGACUGAGACACGGCCCAAACUCCUACGGGAGGCAGCAGUAGGGAAUCUUCCACAAUGGACGAAAGUCUGAUGGAGCAACGCCGCGUGAGUGAAGAAGGGUUUCGGCUCGUAAAACUCUGUUGUUAAAGAAGAACAUAUCUGAGAGUAACUGUUCAGGUAUUGACGGUAUUUAACCAGAAAGCCACGGCUAACUACGUGCCAGCAGCCGCGGUAAUACGUAGGUGGCAAGCGUUGUCCGGAUUUAUUGGGCGUAAAGCGAGCGCAGGCGGUUUUUUAAGUCUGAUGUGAAAGCCUUCGGCUCAACCGAAGAAGUGCAUCGGAAACUGGGAAACUUGAGUGCAGAAGAGGACAGUGGAACUCCAUGUGUAGCGGUGAAAUGCGUAGAUAUAUGGAAGAACACCAGUGGCG